This 484-nucleotide ribosomal RNA is filed under the name uncultured bacterium. Its description in RNAcentral is "partial 16S ribosomal RNA". It matches the Rfam family "Bacterial small subunit ribosomal RNA", at positions 30 to 507 of the family's 1533-position model. The record is from RNAcentral.
AUUGAACGCUGGCGGCAGGCUUUACACAUGCAAGUCGAACGGCUGCACGGGGCCAACCCUUGUGGUGAGCGGCGAACGGGUGAGUAAUACAUCGGAACCUGCCCGGUCGUGGGGGAUAACGUCGCGAAAGUUACUCUAAUACCGCAUACGUUCUGAGGAUGAAAGCGGGGGACCUUCUGACCUCGCGCGAUCGGAUCUGCCUAUGUCAGAUUAGCUAGUUGGUGGGGUAAAGGCCUACCAAGCCGACGAUCUGUAUCUGGUCUGAGAGGACGACCAGACACACUGGGACUGAGACACGGUCCAGACUCCUACGGGAGGCAGCAGUGGGGAAUUUUGGACAAUGGGCGCAAGCCUGAUCCAGCCAUGCCGCGUGCAGGAAGAAGGCCUUCGGGUUGUAAACUGCUUUUGUAUGGAACGAAAAGGAUUUGGCUAAUACCUGGCGGUCAUGACGGUACCGAAAGAAUAAGCACCGGCUAACUACGUG